This 208-nucleotide ribosomal RNA is filed under the name uncultured bacterium. RNAcentral describes it as "partial 16S ribosomal RNA". It matches the Rfam family "Bacterial small subunit ribosomal RNA", at positions 568 to 774 of the family's 1533-position model. The record is from RNAcentral.
CUCGUAGGCGGUUCAACAAGUCGGUCGUGAAAGCCCGGGGCUCAACCCCGGGAUGCCGGUCGAAACUGUUGUGACUUGAGUUCGGUAGAGGUGAGUGGAAUUCUCGGUGUAGCGGUGGAAUGCGCAGAUAUCGAGAGGAACACCCGUAGCGAAGGCGGCUCACUGGGCCGAUACUGACGCUGAGGAGCGAAAGCAUGGGGAGCAAACA